RNAcentral lists this ribosomal RNA (393 nucleotides) under uncultured bacterium. RNAcentral's name for it is "partial 16S ribosomal RNA". It matches the Rfam family "Bacterial small subunit ribosomal RNA", at positions 523 to 918 of the family's 1533-position model. The record is from RNAcentral.
AUACGGAGGAUGCAAGCGUUAUCCGGAUUUAUUGGGUUUAAAGGGUGCGUAGGCGGCGCGUUAAGCGUGAGGUGAAAGCUCGGGGCUCAACCCCGGAACUGCCUCGCGAACUGGCGUGCUGGAAUGCUCCUGCCGUGGGAGGAAUGUGUGGUGUAGCGGUGAAAUGCAUAGAGAUCACACAGAACACCGAUUGCGAAGGCAUCUCACGAAGGGGUUAUUGACGCUGAGGCACGAAAGCGUGGGGAUCAAACAGGAUUAGAUACCCUGGUAGUCCACGCAGUAAACGAUGAUAACUAACCGCUGGGGUGUAAAUUUCAGUGGCCAAGCGAAAGCGAUAAGUUAUCCACCUGGGGAGUACGACCGCAAGGUUGAAACUCAAAGGAAUUGACGGGG